Molecule: ribosomal RNA, 789 nt
Filed under: uncultured archaeon
Lineage: Archaea
Description: bacterial SSU rRNA
Rfam family: Archaeal small subunit ribosomal RNA
Source: RNAcentral
ACGGCUCAGUAACACGUGGACAACCUACCCUAUGGAGGGGGAUAACCCCGGGAAACUGGGGAUAAUACCCCAUAGACUAUGGAAGCUGGAAUGCUCUGUACUUGAAAGGUCCGCCGCCAUAGGAUGGGUCUGCGGCCGAUUAGGUUGUUGUUGGGGUAACGGCCCAACAAGCCUGUAAUCGGUACGGGUUGUGGGGGCAAGAGCCCGGAGAUGGAUUCUGAGACACGAAUCCAGGCCCUACGGGGCGCAGCAGGCGCGAAGACUUUACAAUGCGGGAAACCGUGAUAAGGGAACUCCGAGUGCCCGUAAAAUCGGGCUGUCCAUCUGUUUGAAUAACAGGUGAAGAAAGGGCCGGGCAAGACCGGUGCCAGCCGCCGCGGUAAUACCGGCGGCUCGAGUGGUGGCCACUAUUACUGGGCUUAAAGCGUUCGUAGCUGGUUUGUUAAGUCUCUGGGGAAAUCUUCCGGCUCAACCGGAAGGCGUCUCAGGGAUACUGGCAGACUAGGGACCGGGAGAGGUGAGAGGUACUCCAGGGGUAGGAGUGAAAUCCUGUAAUCCUUGGGGGACCACCUGUGGCGAAGGCGUCCUACCAGAACAGGUCCGACGGUGAGGGACGAAAGCUAGGGGCACGAACCGGAUUAGAUACCCGGGUAGUCCUAGCCGUAAACGAUGCCCGCUAGGUGUCACGACGGUCGUAAAUCGUCGUGGUGCCGUAGGGAAGCCGCGAAGCGGGCCACUUGGGAAGUACGGCCGCAAGGCUGAAACUUAAAGGAAUUGGCGGGGGAGCAC